RNAcentral lists this ribosomal RNA (2308 nucleotides) under Vibrio splendidus. RNAcentral's name for it is "partial 23S ribosomal RNA". It matches the Rfam family "Bacterial large subunit ribosomal RNA", at positions 393 to 2925 of the family's 2925-position model. Lineage: Bacteria; Pseudomonadati; Pseudomonadota; Gammaproteobacteria; Vibrionales; Vibrionaceae. The record is from RNAcentral.
UCAUAAUCAGUGAAAACGAGUAGGGCGGGACACGUGAUAUCCUGUCUGAAUAUGGGGGGACCAUCCUCCAAGGCUAAAUACUACUGACUGACCGAUAGUGAACCAGUACCGUGAGGGAAAGGCGAAAAGAACCCCUGUGAGGGGAGUGAAAUAGAACCUGAAACCGUGUACGUACAAGCAGUAGGAGCACCUUCGUGGUGUGACUGCGUACCUUUUGUAUAAUGGGUCAGCGACUUAAUUUUAGUAGCAAGGUUAACCGUUUAGGGGAGCCGUAGGGAAACCGAGUCUUAACUGGGCGUACAGUUGCUAGGAUUAGACCCGAAACCAGGUGAUCUAGCCAUGGGCAGGUUGAAGGUUGAGUAACAUCAACUGGAGGACCGAACCGACUAAUGUUGAAAAAUUAGCGGAUGACUUGUGGCUAGGGGUGAAAGGCCAAUCAAACCUGGAGAUAGCUGGUUCUCCCCGAAAGCUAUUUAGGUAGCGCCUCGGACGAAUACUACUGGGGGUAGAGCACUGUUAAGGCUAGGGGGUCAUCCCGACUUACCAACCCUUUGCAAACUCCGAAUACCAGUAAGUACUAUCCGGGAGACACACGGCGGGUGCUAACGUCCGUCGUGGAGAGGGAAACAACCCAGACCGCCAGCUAAGGUCCCAAAGUAUAGCUAAGUGGGAAACGAUGUGGGAAGGCUCAGACAGCCAGGAUGUUGGCUUAGAAGCAGCCAUCAUUUAAAGAAAGCGUAAUAGCUCACUGGUCGAGUCGGCCUGCGCGGAAGAUGUAACGGGGCUAAGCUAUACACCGAAGCUGCGGCUACGUACCUUAGGGUAUGUGGGGUAGGGGAGCGUUCUGUAAGCCGUUGAAGGUGUGCUGUAAGGCAUGCUGGAGGUAUCAGAUAACGCUGAGAUACGAUGUCGAGCUACUACGGUAGUGAAGUCAUUGAUGCCAUGCUUCCAGGAAAAGCCUCUAAGCUUCAGAUUGUAAGGAAUCGUACCCCAAACCGACACAGGUGGUCGGGUAGAGAAUACCAAGGCGCUUGAGAGAACUCGGGUGAAGGAACUAGGCAAAAUGGUACCGUAACUUCGGGAGAAGGUACGCUCUUAUCAGUGAAGUCCCUUGCGGAUGGAGCAGACGAGAGUCGCAGAUACCAGGUGGCUGCAACUGUUUAUUAAAAACACAGCACUGUGCAAAAUCGUAAGAUGACGUAUACGGUGUGACGCCUGCCCGGUGCCGGAAGGUUAAUUGAUGGGGUUAGACUUCGGUCGAAGCUCUUGAUCGAAGCCCCGGUAAACGGCGGCCGUAACUAUAACGGUCCUAAGGUAGCGAAAUUCCUUGUCGGGUAAGUUCCGACCUGCACGAAUGGCGUAAUGAUGGCCACGCUGUCUCCACCCGAGACUCAGUGAAAUUGAAAUCGCUGUGAAGAUGCAGUGUACCCGCGGCUAGACGGAAAGACCCCGUGAACCUUUACUACAGCUUGGCACUGAACAUUGAACCUACAUGUGUAGGAUAGGUGGGAGACUAUGAAAUUGCGUCGCUAGAUGUGAUGGAGUCGUCCUUGAAAUACCACCCUUGUAGUUUUGAUGUUCUAACGUUGGUCCCUGAAUCGGGAUUACGGACAGUGCCUGGUGGGUAGUUUGACUGGGGCGGUCUCCUCCCAAAGAGUAACGGAGGAGCACGAAGGUGGGCUAAACACGGUUGGACAUCGUGUGGUUAGUGCAAUGGCAUAAGCCCGCUUGACUGCGAGAAUGACAAUUCGAGCAGGUGCGAAAGCAGGUCAUAGUGAUCCGGUGGUUCUGAAUGGAAGGGCCAUCGCUCAACGGAUAAAAGGUACUCCGGGGAUAACAGGCUGAUACCGCCCAAGAGUUCAUAUCGACGGCGGUGUUUGGCACCUCGAUGUCGGCUCAUCACAUCCUGGGGCUGAAGUCGGUCCCAAGGGUAUGGCUGUUCGCCAUUUAAAGUGGUACGCGAGCUGGGUUUAGAACGUCGUGAGACAGUUCGGUCCCUAUCUGCCGUGGGCGUUGGAAAAUUGAAAGGGGCUGCUCCUAGUACGAGAGGACCGGAGUGGACGAACCUCUGGUGUUCGGGUUGUCAUGCCAAUGGCAUUGCCCGGUAGCUAAGUUCGGAAUCGAUAACCGCUGAAAGCAUCUAAGCGGGAAGCGAGCCUUGAGAUGAGUUUUCCCUGGCACUAUAAGUGUCCUAAAGGGUUGUCGUAGACUACGACGUUGAUAGGCAGGGUGUGUAAGUGCUGCGAGGCAUUGAGCUAACCUGUACUAAUUGCCCGUGAGGCUUAACCAUACAACACCCAAGGGGUUU